Toxotes jaculatrix (banded archerfish) is the source of this 1113-nucleotide non-coding RNA. The record is from the annotation of a RefSeq genome assembly. Lineage: Eukaryota; Metazoa; Chordata; Actinopteri; Toxotidae.
CUGUUCAAGCAUUGUGUCAAUAAUAACUGCUGCUGUGAAGAGAAGAAUUGUUAGACUCAGUGUUGAACAUCAGCUACUUUCUCCUGUUGCUUUAAACCUUCUUGUAGAGAUGGAACAUUGGCUGUGGAUGAUUCUUGCUGCUCUUUUCUUUGAGUGUAAAGGAGAAGACAGAGUGAUCCAGGAAACAGGAGAUGUCAUUGCUGCUGAAGGAGAGACAGUUAUACUCCCUUGUACAUAUGAAACCAGUUACUCUGGUUCUACACUGUUCUGGUACAAACAAGAAGCAAAUGAUUUUCCAAAGCUUCUGCUGCAGCGCGUCUCAACAACAGCAGGUAAUCCUGCAGAAAAACAGAAAGAGAGAAUCGAUGCUGUGGCCAACAAGACAUCAGUUCCUCUGGAGAUCCAGAAGCUUCAGCUGUCUGACUCUGCUGUGUACUACUGUGCUCUGAGGCCCACAGUGACAGGAAACAGCACAACUCUGUACAAAAACUUUUGGAGCAAAGACAACAGAAUACUCCACAACAUCCACUAGAGGGAGUCAAACACUGUCACAGUAUCUUACAGUUGCUAACUCACAUUUCUCUACACUGAGUCCAAUUUUUCAAGACUCUUCACACAGUCAGUACAACAGCAGUCGGUGUGGACGACUCUGUGGGUCACUUUCCACUGCUCGGACACAAAAUGCAGACAAUCACCACAUCUUCAAACUUGGUUCAAAACAUAAAACUUGAUACAAAAUGACUGUAAAUCAGCCUGAUACUUUCUACAUUCAUUCAUUGAUGAUCUCUAUGAAAGACUUGUACCAGGUGAGGAAAGGGGGCAGCUGAGGCUGAAUCCACUGGGUUUUGUAAUUGUGUGGGACCAUGUGGUGUUUCAUUGUUCUCUCCCAGUCAUCUCAAUGGUUUCUUAUGAUCCAGUCCAGAUAAUGAAAGACAGCAGGCAGAGUCGCUCUGACGUGUGAUGCGUGGACAUCAGUUGCAACUGAAUCUUACGUUGCACACUCUAUGCGUGAGAUGAGCAACAACUGGAAGCUGGUAAGUCAUGUCCUCCAGAGUGAUGAGUGAGAGUCACACCGGUGCAAAUGUAGCUGAGCUGCUGCAGAAAGUAGCAGAA